This 254-nucleotide ribosomal RNA is filed under the name uncultured bacterium. RNAcentral describes it as "partial 16S ribosomal RNA". It matches the Rfam family "Bacterial small subunit ribosomal RNA", at positions 524 to 776 of the family's 1533-position model. The record is from RNAcentral.
UACAGGGGGGUGCAAACGUUGCUCGGAAUCAUUGGGCGUAAAGCGCACGUAGGCGGUUCGUUAUGUCGGAUGUGAAAGCCCUUGGCUUAACCGAGGAAGUGCAUCCGAAACUGGCGAGCUAGAGUACGAAAGAGGAUCGCGGAAUUCCCGGUGUAGAGGUGAAAUUCGUAGAUAUCGGGAGGAACACCGGUGGCGAAGGCGGCGAUCUGGGUCGAUACUGACGCUGAGGUGCGAAAGCGUGGGGAGCGAACAGG